UUUUUACCUAUUUUGCCUUAUUUUCCCCAUUCUAUUUUUCCUUUUUUUUAGCUUUUCUUAACUUUCUUGCCUUUUUACCUAUCUUGCCCUUUUUGCCUAUCUUGCCUUUUUUGCCUCUUCUUUUGCUCCUCUCUUGCCUCCUUUUUUAUUUUUUUUAUUUUUUUUAUUUUGUUACAUACAAGUAUAAAUUUUACGCACGUAUGUUUUUUUUUUUUUUUUUUAAAAAUGCAAUUAUUUCAAGUUUUCAAUUUGAUUUAAUUCGAUUUUAUUUGUCCAUAUUUUACUUUCCCAUGUUUGAUUUGCUUAUAUUUUUGCUAGCUCUUAUUUUAUUUGUUUUCAUAUUUUUUUUUUAUUUAAUCAUAUUUUUUUUUAAUUUUAUGUUAACUUUUUAAUUGAGCUAGAAAAAAUAUAAAAAAAGAAAAUGAAAAUUAAAAAAAAAAAAAAAAAACAAAAAAAAAAAAAAAUACAAUAUACAAUACAAUAUACCUAACGAAAUUACAUACAUAAAUUAUGUACAUAUAUACUUAUAUGUAUAUAUGUACGUAUAAUAUGAAUGUACAUGUUUGUGUAUAAUACACAUAUGUAGCCGUAUAAAUAUGUUCCUUCAGGGUUAUACACUCGUAAGUGAUCUGUACAUAUAAAAUCACGUAGAAGAAAGCGAAGAAAAAAUAAAAUAAAAAAUAAAAAUAAUAUUAAAAUAAAAUAAAAAAGCGCAGCAUCUAAGCUACAUUUUGUGACAAGGGUAAAACAAGUUGCCGAAAAAACUAGACAUGAAAAAAUAAAAAGGUUCAAAAAAAAAAAAAAAAAAUCAAAAGAGACCAAAAUUGGAACGAUAUAAGCAAGGGAAACGACACAAACAAAGCGACACAAACAAGCAAAACAAUAGGAAUGAAAAAAAAAAAAAAAAAAAAAAUAUAUAUAUAUAUAUAUUAAAAUUAUAGCAAUAAGAACACAACAUGGAAGACACAUUACUAAACGAUUGGAACGGAAGCGGAAGUAAUAGCAACAAUAACUAUAACAAUGUAACCAGUAGUAACGAAAACUACAGCGAUGGAGAAAAAACAUUUCACUUGAAUAAAAAACAACUUAUAAAAAAAAUAGAAAAAAGAGGUUACAAAAACUAUGACCAUAACAAAUGUACUGCUUAUAAAAUAUUCCCAUAUGGUGGGUUAUUUUAUUAUGAUAUUUUAAUUAAAGAUGUCAUAAAACUAUAUUACAGAACGGAAAACAACGAAAACAUGUAUUAUGAAAAUAUACAAGAAAUUAAGACUGACCUAUCACAUGAAUGUAAGUAUAUUUAUCUAGGUGCUGGUUUAUUAAGAAAGGAACAACAAACAAAAAAAAAUCGUGAUAAAAACAGAAUGGUUUUUAUUUUUUUUAUUAAUGAACAGUUAUUAGAAAAACUAAAAAGUAGACAAAAGCAUAAUAGGAGAAGAAAAAAAGAACAAAAAAAAUAUAUAUAUACAUAUGAUACGCAGAAAAAUAGAAAUAACACAAAUACACCAAACGGAUCGUUUUAUCAUGUACAAAGCAAGCAAUAUAUGUUUUUGCAUGAUAAAAUAAAAAACGUACAAACAUGUGAGAACAACAAUAUGUACUAUUCACAAAGUGAUAGAUACAGCCACAACGAAGCUGAAAUAAAAAGCAAAAAAAAAAAAAAAAAAAAAAAAAAAAAAAAAAAAAAAAAAAAAAAUAUAUAUAUAUAUAUGAACAGAUUAAAAGAUAUAAACAACAUUUUAAAAGCAAAAUACAAAAAUAAAAAUGCAUACAUAAAAACGAGAACCGCACUGUCAUAUGAAAAUUCAAAACAUUAUGAACCUGGCACAUGUACUGAUGUAAACAGAAAUAAAAAAUAUUUGAAUAUUGAAACGAAUUAUAAUAAUAGAGAAAGCAUUAAUGGAAGAUAUGGUAUUGUUAAUAGAAAAAAAAAAAACGUAAACUCGAGCGCAUUAGUAAAAAAUGGGAUAAAAAUGGAGGAGGACGAUGUUGGUAGUAGUGACAGCUACACAGACUCCUCUGACUAUUCGGAUUACUCCGAUUAUUCGGACAACUCGGAUUACUCCGAUUACUCGGACAACUCGGAUUACUCCGAUUACUCGGACAACUCGGAUCACUCCGAUUACUCGGACAACUCGGAUCACUCCGAUUACUCGGACUACUCUGACCAUCCCGACUAUUCCGACUAUUCCGAUCACUUCAAAACUCACCAAAACGUGUACACUGAUAAAGGAAAUAUAUUUUUGCUAAACAUAUUACACCACGAAAACAAUGUUUACUCUGUAAAAUGGAAACACAAUAAUUAUGAACAGUUUUCGAUAUUAGUUUCCCUUUGCUUUGAUGGUUAUAUGUAUAUAUGGAAAGAGCACUUGAAUUGUCAGAAUAAGUUUACAUUUAUAUCUAUCUGUAAAAUAUACAUUUUUUGUUUUCCAAAAUGGGUGCAUAAUAUAAAAUGGUGUUGGGUUAAUAAAGAAGAAAACUAUUACGAUUAUUUUUUUUUUAAUGGUAAUGUUGUUGGUGGUAAUACAGCAUAUAAUACAAAUGGUAUGAUGAAUGCUAACGGUAGAAUUAUUGAUAGUAUAAAGUUUUCAAAAAAUGAGUAUCUAAUUAUAUAUGGUUCAAAAAACGAUGCCAAAAAAGAAAGUUGUUAUAAUAAUUGUUUAUAUAAAAAAAAGAAUAAAAUAAAAAAUUGCAUAUAUCAUAACGAAUUUAAUAAUGAUAACAUUUCAUAUGAAUCUUAUAAUUUUUUUUCCGUUUAUGCUAUUUUUAAUAUAUAUAAUCAUAAUAUAUAUAUAAAAAACAUUUUAAAUUAUGAAAACAUACCAAUUCAUAUUAACUUUCAGUAUAUUAUUAAUGCUAAGAUUAAUUAUAAACUUUUAAAUAAAUCUUUGAUUCCUAUUUACACAGACGAUACAUACUACCCUCAUAAUAUAUAUAAUAUAAAAUAUGGAACAUGGAAAGUUAAAAAAAUUGUUAGGAGUAAGAAAUAUAUAUGUUUGCAGGAUGAUGUUAUUCGUAGUGCUGACCUAAGUAGUAGCGACUUAAGUAGCACCGACUUAAGUAGCACCGACAAUAAUGAUAGAUGCACACGACAUUUUUAUAAUAAUAUACCUACUUAUGCGAACAAAAGUAAAUACGAAUACGUACAUUCUACAUAUUCUACAUAUUUGAUAGAUUCUUCUGCUGAUUUAGAUCUUUCUAGAAUGUCCGAAGAAUUAUCUUUCGGAAAAGUAAAUACAAGAAAAUGUAAUAAUCAAUAUGACGAUGGUAGCACUUGUAGUUGUAGAUGCAGUUCCAGUUCCAGUUGUAGAUGCAGUUACAGUUCCAGUUACAGUUCCAGUUCCAGUUCCAGUUGCAGCUGCAGUUCCAGUUGCAACUGUAACGAUAAAGCAAAAAAAAAACAAUUUUUGUUGUUUCAAAAACUAGUGAGUACUGUUAACAGCUUAAUGCCUCCAUUUUCGAUUAAAAUUUCGACUUAUAACAAUGAUUUUUAUAAAAUAUAUAUCAGACCAAGUGAUAUUUGGGUUAAAAAACGAAAAAGUAUUAAUGUUAGAUAUAUUUUGGAUUAUAAAAAUGCCUCUAGCAGUUUUAAUUUAGGUCGAAAUAAAUUUAUUAAAAAAAAAAAAAAUGAACAGUCAUUUUAUGAUAUUAGUUUUUGUACUAGCCAUAAUUUUAUUAUUUUAGUUAACAACCUGAACAAUAAAUUAUUUUUUUAUGAUUUUUUUACCCAAUGUGAUAAAAAAGAAAAAAAAAAAAAAAAGAAAAAAAAAAAAAGAAAAAAAAAGGAUCAAACAUGGUACAUUUAUAACAAAAGUAGUAAGAACCUUAGCCAAAUUAAAUAUCCCAAUGAUGGAACUAUACAAAAUUAUGUCAUAAAUAAUUUAAAAAACUUAAGUGAUAAGAAUAGAUUAGUAAGCAAUAAAAAAAAAAACGAAUUAUUUUUGGAAAAAAUGAACUCGGUAGCAUGUAGCAAUCUACAAUCUACUACCCACUUAGAUGGUAAAAAUGUCGACCAAUAUAUAAAAAUAAUGAAUAAAGAUGGAUUAUUAUUUAAUUGUAAUUUGUUUAAUAAAAUGUUUUAUCCCAACAGAAAAAAAAAUAAAACAUUUUCCAUGAUUUGCUGUUUAAAUAGUAUAUAUAUCGAUAAAUAUUAUUUGUUAAGUUAUAAAGAAAAUAAUUUUUUAAAAAAAAAAAAACAUUUUAUCUAUAGUUACACACAUAAAAUAUGUGAUUAUUACGAUCAUACAAAAAAAACACUACAUGUCAAAACAAGUGAUUUUAUAAAACAAAAAACUGUCAUACCUUUAGUUUAUAAAAGUAAUAUAAUCCAAUCCUUUGAUUCUUUUUUUUUGUUGUUAUGUAUUGACAAAGAAAAAAAACACAUAUUUGUGCUGAAAUCGGAAAGAGUUAACAUAGUACAUAAUUUAAAAAUGGUUUGUAUAUUUGAAGAAGAUUACAUAUGUAAUGAUUUUAAUGCAUAUGCUGAUAGUACAUACCACCACGGCCACUACCACCAUAAUGACGUAAAAAAUUGCAUUAGCAAAAGCCAAAGUACCCCAUAUGUUUCCACUUUUUCAAACCCAAACGAAAAAUAUAGUCAUAAAAAAAAACACAGCAACACCAACCAAUGUGACAAUAACAAAACAAGUAUCGAAAAUAACAAUUUUAUAAAUAAAGUAAAACAUGAUAUAACACUAAUUGAAAAAAAAAAAAAAUUUAAAAUAAUUGAUUACAAAAUAAAAAAUUUUUAUUUAUUUAAUAAAAAUAAUAGUGAACAACAACUUGUAUUAAUCAUUAAAUAUAGUU
This 4803-nucleotide long non-coding RNA is filed under the name Piliocolobus tephrosceles (Ugandan red Colobus). Its description in RNAcentral is "lncRNA (ENSPTEG00000004485.1)". The record is from RNAcentral. Lineage: Eukaryota; Metazoa; Chordata; Mammalia; Primates; Cercopithecidae.